This 440-nucleotide ribosomal RNA is filed under the name uncultured bacterium. RNAcentral's name for it is "partial 16S ribosomal RNA". It matches the Rfam family "Bacterial small subunit ribosomal RNA", at positions 338 to 795 of the family's 1533-position model. The record is from RNAcentral.
CCUACGGGAGGCAGCAGUGGGGAAUAUUGCACAAUGGGCGAAACCCUGAUGCAGCGACGCCGCGUGAGUGUAGAAGUAAUUCGUUAUGUAAAGCUCUAUCAGCAGGGAAGAAAAUGACUGUACCUGAGUAAGAAGCCCCGGCUAACUACGUACCAGCAGCCGCGGUACUACGUAGGGGGCAAGCGUUAUCCGGAUUUGCUGGGUGUAACGGGAGCGUAGACGGCAGUGCAAGUCUGGAGUGAAAGGCGGGGGCUCAACCCCCGGAGUGCUCUGGAGACUGUACGGCUGGAGUGCAGGAGAGGUAAGUGGAAUUCCUAGUGUAGCGGUGAAAUGCGUAGAUAUUAGGCGGAACACCAGUGGCGAAGGCGGCUUACUGGACUGUAACUGACGUUGAGGCUCGAAAGCGUGGGGAACAAACAGGAUUAGAUACCCGGGUAGUC